This is a long non-coding RNA of Rhea pennata, 4178 nucleotides long. RefSeq lists it as uncharacterized. The record is from RefSeq and is a predicted model, not a curated record. Lineage: Eukaryota; Metazoa; Chordata; Aves; Rheiformes; Rheidae. The transcript has 2 exons.
UGGUAUCUUUUGUACUGGGAGCACCUAACGUGGGUAAAUGGCUGGGGGAGCAUCGAGCAUUUCACCUUCAUAUUUUCACUUUCUGAGAUGUAGCUGCGGUCCUUACUGUAACUGGGAUCUGACCCAGGUCCUGUUUUCUUUUGGAGCAUUGCUCAGUUGUGAUGUGUUGCAGAAAUAAUGUGAUAAAAUAGUCCAGAUCCCCAAGGUAAUCCUUGAGCAAGGCCUAUUUCCACUCAUCUGAUUUUCUUUAGCUGCCGAUGCUUUGUCAUACUUCUUGGUUAUCAGUUUUCUCAUUAUUCUGUUUUUUAAAAAUGCACUAUUUUUCCAGCAUUCCCAGGAUUUUUACAGAGAACUAUAUUAAUAUGAAUGAUUAACAGCCACAAUUUGAUGCAUUUCAUAUACAAGCAUAUAGCUCGAGUACUACUGUAAAAUUUCCUAGAAACAGUCUUGAACACAACUUUUGUUUUUUAGUGGUGAUAGCAUUGGUAACUACUUUCAAUUUGUCUUGACCUUUGGGUUCUUAUAAAAACUCAUUAGAUGAUUUUUGAGGGAUUUAAGUGUUUUCAAUGGCUUUGACUUUACCCUUGUGUCUCUUUAUUUAUAUUCUACAUCAGUAAUUUUCAGCUUGUUUCCCACAGCUGUUACUUACCUGUGUGAGGCUGUCACAGAGACAGGCCACAGAGCUGGCAGGUCUGGUGGCAUGGAGAGAACUGGCUUGUUGCAGAAGUGUCCCCAUGUUUCCCACACACCAAGGGCCCUGAGGAAGCAAUACCAGAGACGCUGUGAACACAACAGUUAGGAAGGAUGAAAGAGAAGGAAGGAGAUGUGUGAGAAGAGAGAUAUCAACCUGAUUCUGAACACACACCAGCUCUUUACACCUCCAUACGCAGUCAGAUCUGCAGUGAGACCAAAGGAUGGUGCUUUCAUCACAAACUUAGCUCUUUUUGAAAGAGAUCUCCAAGCAUAAAAGAGCCUUUCUAUGUUGCUGGAGCGUAGAAGAAGGGUAUGAAUGAUGUCCGUGUAAAAACGAAUGCACAAUGUCAUGUAAAACACAGCUGACUCCUAACAAUAUGACAACUGAGUUGUAUUGAGCUGUGCUGCAUCUUCUGCAGUAUUUUUCUUUCCAUGUAGCCUUAGGCAAAUACUUCCUUGUUUCUGGUGUUAGUGGUUAGACUGCCACAGAUUUAUCAUGUAUAUUUAUGGGUGAGCUGAAGAAUUUUGAGUUAGUCUGAAGGGCAGGGAAGUUAUUUAGUAGAUAUAUUAAUAUUAAAAAAAGAAAGCAGUCUUCCAAAGUGCGUGGAUUCUAAUCCACAUUCCACAGCCACAUUUUUCAUUAGUAAGAGAGUUGCAGAGUAAGCUGCUGUUUCUCCACAUCUGUAAUACCUCAAAAUGCUGAAGCUACUGGAAAUCAAAGCAAGUAGAAAAGGAUUAAUUGUUGCAUGAAUGUCUGAGGUAAAAUUUCAUUUGAACUUCAGCCUUUACAGGGAAUUUUACUCUUUAGAAUUAUCUCCUGCUAUUAAAAGAUAUAGCUAUUCCUUAAGUAAAUAGAUCACAGUGUACUACAAUUGCUUUGCUGUACUGCAGUUGAAACCUUCCAAAGCAGGAGCUAGGGAACAUCAGUGCAAUUAGUCUGCUUUGCCUGAGUCUCUGCAGGAGAAAAUGACCUUCAUUCUGAUCAGAGAGCAGUCAAAGCCGAGCGCAAGCGGCUUCCUACAGCUCUGCUCCCUGCUGCUUACCCUGGUAGUAAGAACACUCUCUAGAUGCUCCUUUUAUCCAUAUCUUUGUUAAAAUGAUGGGGCAGAUAAGAAGCAUGUUCUUCUCUCAAAACUUUCAAACGCUGAAAGCUCAUUAUCUAGCAAAACAAAAUAGUAACAAAUAAACAAUUGACAAAGAUCAGUGAAUGCCAUAAAAAUAGUUGGGAACUUCCCUCUCUGUUUUUGGUUGGGUUUUUUUAAGCUUUAUUUAUAAAUUUUGUUUUUAUUUAGCAUAAAACAAAUCAUUACAGGAUUUUUAUUCUACAUGAAGUAUUGUUCCAGCAAUAUUCUGUUUAUUAUGGUCAUUAGCUUUAAGGACAAUUCUGUUCCCAUUUCACUGUUGUCACAUGGAACAUGCUGGCAUCACAGUGAAAAAGCCCUUUCAUUGGCAGAAUCAGGCUUUAGCAAUUAAGAGGCUUAGAUUUUAACUGGUUUUCUUUUUUUGUAUUAUACUAUGUCAGACAGAUAAGAUAGGGCAUAAUGAAGGUUCAGAUGGGUUCUCAGGGUAUUUGAAGUUAAACUGAUGUACAUACAUGUUCUGUACACACAUGUUCUUUUUAUCCUUAUGGCUUGCUUACUUCCUUUUGAUAACAAUUUUUAUUUCAAAUUUAUGAAAUCCUCCAUGUGGAUAAAAGCAUGUAUAAUUAUAAUGUAUAAUACAGGUUCUCCCAAAUGAGAAGAAAGCAUUAAUACACAGAUGAUAUUCAAGGCUGUUCUAUAUUGUGCAAUAUGGUAAAUAGGGUGGAGGAAAGCACCCAGAAAUACUGCGUCACAGAAAAGAAAAGGAAGAAAAUCUUCCCACAGAGAGCACUGCUGGGAAGAGGGAAGGGAUCAUUCCAGGCCAUGGGAUAUGACAGCUGUUUUUAGUGGGUUUUGUCAUAGGCUCUUGCUAUACCCCAUCUUCUCAACUGUUAUCCAUCUGGGGGGCUAGGUCUUUACCUGCAAGCAUAGGUUAGGGAGCCCAGCUGCUACCCCUGCCCGCAGCAGCGAGGUCCUUGGAUGCCGGAGAGCAUGUGUCUUACUCGGAUGAUACAAGAGAACAAAAUUUUUCCUCUUACGAUCACGACAAUGCAUAUGCUGCAGACUUGCAAGCUUUCUUGUUCUCCAGCAAGCUUCCAAGCAUUGAAAAUUAUGCAUACUACCACUAGUUUUCACUUAAUUUUUCAGUGUUCCGGUUGUGAGGUUUGUUUUCCAUAUGCUAUGGGUCUGGUGCAUUUUCCAAAAAGGAUCCCAGUAGCUUAGUUUCAAGUCUCAGACAGCUGCUAUAAUUGCUGCCCGGGAGAGGUUCAGUUAGUUGCACACCAAAGGCCUAAUUAGUCUUUUAACAGUUAGAGCUCACCUAGUUAGUGAAAAUAAUUGAAAAUGGUUCCCUCUCCUCUUGCCAUUUCAGGUAGUUCCAUUAUGAGUGCUGGGCUAAAUGUGAAAUUCUCUCUUUCUGAAUUUAAAUGGUCCAUUAUUCCCUAAUUCCCUUGAGUUAGUGGCUGUUGAAAACCUAUGUAGUAUAUUCUAUGUUCUUGCUGGGAGUUGUGAUUUCUUGAGUCAGACUGUUGUAGGAGAAGAGGGAUAUUUUAACUUGAAUUUCAUGUCAGUUCCGACUUUGGAGGUGUGUUACAUACUGGCUAAGUGGUUUGACUUUCCUGGUUACUUUGGGGUGUUAAGUAAGUAUUUAAUAUUCUCCACUGCUGUAUCCAAAAGAAGCUUGAGAGGAGCUGAGGGUGUAAUUUGUCUGUCAGAAUCCAUUUGCUUUUCAGAAGCACUGUCACAAUGGUAAAAAUUAGUGGUUUGUCUUGGGUGCUUUAUAAAGUGUGAUCAAUUUAACAUGCAAAAUCGGAAUCAUCUCGUAACUUUUAUAGCACACUGAUGAAAUCAACUAACUAAUAUGAUUUUUAUUUUUGUUUUUUUUCUAAGAAUUGUCUCUAUUGAGAAACUAUUUUUAACCAACACAAAGAAUUGUAUUCUCUUAAUUUUAUAAGGGAUUUGAAGGUCACUGUAAUGAUCAUUGAAUGAACUUGUAUUGCAAGAAGCAAUAGGCAGAGAGGCUGCUCUUUUACAUUGAUGGAAUUUGCUAAAAUAAAAAAAUUGAUCUGAUUUUCAGCAGUAUAUUUUAGAAUGGUAUGUCAUUAUAUUUUUGACAUGAAAAAAAGUUAUUCACGUAGAGAAGGAUCUGUGAGAUGUUAAGGUUAACAAAAGAUGAGCUAACUGCCUAAUAUGCAGUAGUGUAUGUAUUGCUGGUUACAUAGACUGUGUAGAAAGAAAGAUAAGGACUGAGAUGUGUUGGUUGUUACAGUAUUCCCUGAAUCAUCCUGAUGUUUAAAGUAUGGAUAGGAUAUACCAUAACAUUGUAUGUUCUGCACUGAUCGUUAACACCUAUGUUUUCGUUUUCAUUUCAUACUCAGGCCAAUAAAUUUUAAAAAACCUGCAUAA